CACACUGGCCUGGUUCCUCUUUUUCACUACAAAUUACAUUUUAAUUAUUUAGCAGACAUUGUUAUCCAAAGCAACUUAUGCAUUCUAAGAAAGCUAGGUGGAACCACCACACAACUCAGUCGUACAGUUGCCAUGGCACCGGUGGGAGAAGCCGCGGGGUCGUGGGCAACAGCCAUGCCCGGGUUCUUCCCUCCGGAAUUUGCUGUGUUCUCUCUGUUCUUCCUCCUGACCAUCAUCCUUCUUGCCCUCUGCACCGACUGUGGAAGGCAUUCCUUUGAGCUCCGGGACAGCGGUGAGGAGACCGGUAUAACCCAGUCAAACCUGAUCAGAGUGGUAAAGCUGGAGGAUGCCCUGGCUGCAAGAGAGAACCCAAUGAUCAAUGACAUCAGAAAAGACGAGAGAGGUGCCUCGCAGAUCGUCAAUGGAACCCCUGUGAUGACAGUUGGAUCUCCUUCUCCUACCACCACUGUCAACAACGCUGACCAAAGGGAAGUCCAGAACUCCAUCCCCGAGAUCCAUUCUCUCCCAGACCCCGUAUCUGUGGUGGAGGCUCACAAACCCCUAAAGUCUGUACCUCUUCCUGUCUAUUCAGGGGAUGCCCUGGAAGCCCCCAUUGUAAAAAGCCUUGAAUCUGCUGAGGUCCCCAUCCUUGGACCUGUGGAAGCCUCCACCUUGGAUUUCUCUAAUAUGAGUAGCCUUAAACCUGUGGAACCAACGGAUGUUUCCAUCGUGAGCCGUGUCCCAGAUGCUCCAGAUGGCUUUGGCAACCGGAAGCUCCCCGUCAUAAACAGUCUGGAGGCUGUGGACGGGCCCAACGUUGCACCUGCAUGUAUUCCUCACUGUAAUGACCUUGACACCCAAGGUGCCGCCAUCAUGAAUAUUCCUGGUAGCCUUGCACCAGUGGAUGAACUUAUAGGGGACUCAACCAUUGUAACGUACCCUGAACCUGUGGAUUUCUCCAUUGUAAACCAACUUCCACCAGUGGACACCCCUGUUGUGGACAGCUUGGCACCAGUGGAUGCUCCCAUCAUGAACCGACUUAAAAAAGACAAUGCCACUAUCAGUGACCAACUCAAUGUCCCCACUGUGAAUGAUAUUGACCAACUCAAUGUCCCCAUUUUGAAUGAUAUCGACCUGCUCAAUGUCCCCACCAUGAAUGAGACAGACCUGUUCAAUGUCCCCAUCCUGUAUGACAGUGAUCCCCUUGGCUUUGCCAUCAUGAAGGACCUGGACCUCUUGGACGCCCCUGUGGAGUUCAGCUCCAACUUCGUAGCUCAGCUUGCGGAGAAUGGUUGUGUGGCGGGCGAAGACCAGGGGCCAUCCUUGAGGCUCCAUCCCCAGCACACCUAUGAGCUCAUAGGGGAGCUCAUUCCAGAUGUAGCCUCUGUGGAAGUGGACCCGACGACCCCAAGCGAUCAAACAAAACCUGAAGUCAUCGAUGAAUCCACCACACAGCCUGAUGUUGACGCAUCCACGGUCACAGAGCCAGUGGACCUGGCCCUCCGCUACUACGAAAACACAGCUGAACUGGUCCAACAAUCGGUGGCAACCAAUAAUGAGCCAAUGACAACCGGGCCAGGGGACGGGACUGACCUUACAAGGAAGGAGGAAGUUAAGAAGAGUUUGAGUGACAUGGGGUGGAAUCCGAUGUAUGCUAAGGUGAGCAGGAACUGUCCCACUCCACCCCCGGUCCCUCCUCCGGAGGAUGAGGAAUAGAUGCACCUCUACCUCGCUUAUAAGAGAGAAAUGGAAAGAUGGAGGGAGGAUAACUAGCAUAUCUCAUAAGACUUUUAAAAAGCCCUGUAUUUUAGCAUGUCCUCAAUACUAUUUACAUAUGUAAGCAACUGUGCUUUCUUGCUUUCUUUCAUUAUUAAAUAAAAUUGCAUGUUAUAAUGGCAAUAUUAAUUGACCUGUCCACGUCUAAUAGUCUUGUGAGAGGGUCUUGACGUUUGUAUGUACUAACUCAUUAGGUGAACCAGUUAUUACACAGUAAAACACCUAACUUGUUUUGUUUCUUUGAGAUGAAUUCAAUGUCAAGAAUCUCUAGAAUUACAGUUUAAACAUUUCAAUACUAUAAUGACAAC
This is a long non-coding RNA of Esox lucius (northern pike), 2084 nucleotides long. The record is from Ensembl. NCBI's taxonomy places the organism in Eukaryota, Metazoa, Chordata, Actinopteri, Esociformes, Esocidae.